CGACGAUUCCAACCUCUCCGGUGAGCACGAACGGUGAUUGUCAACUUCUGUCCGGUCUCUGUCCGAUCUCCGCAAGCGGUAAUCAGGUAUGUCAACUUCCGUACUUCCGACUUCGAAGGACUUUGAUUAGAAACUGCAAAAUUAGAAACCAAUAUUCAAGUCUGGAGGAUCUCUAAUUUUCCAUUACAUUUGAUUAAUCGGUCUUUGCCAUUCUCUAUCAAAAAACAAUUGUAUGAAGGCAGUUAACAAAAUCACAGUUCCUCUGCACACAUUUCAACUAGAUUAGCCACUCAACUCUCAAACUGCUUCUCCUCUGCACACUUUAAGAUGUGCAUAUUUGCCAAUUGUAGCUUGUAAAAUAGCUUAUGUAAAAAUGUAAAAUAGGAUGGAUUUAUUUGUCGCUACUGAAUACUGAUGUGCCAAUGUACAAUUCAACUUAGAGCUUUAUGGCCUUAUGUGAUCAUUGAAAAUCCAUUGUGUGAUCCUAAUGAGACAAAUUUGUCAUCACUGGUGUUUUUAGCUUGCAUAUAUACAAGUUCUUCCUUUUUAAACCUUCUUAGAGCUCUAAAACUGAAAAUGAGCCCGUCAUGUUUUACUUACCUGAAAUGAUGUGAUAUCCAUUAGAUUUAUCUUGGCAUUCUUUGAGAAAGAAAUAUUGGUCUUGGUAAUUCAAUGGUUGACUUGAAGUUUGCAUUUUCUAAGAUCCUUAAAAACCUCUUUUGCUGAGGACUUAUAUUUAGAGGCAUUUGAGAACAUCACCAGAUUAUUUACAUAUAUGAGGUCUGAAAGUAACUUUGCUUCAUGAACAUAACUUGAUGAAUUUAGUUCACUGUUAUGUAUUUUUUGAUGUUUUAUACUUUUAUUUUUCUGAAUAAAAUUAUCUAUAAAUUAAGCUUUGUUUCACUGGCCAUCAACAGCUUAUGAAAAGCCCGUCCACACCCCAAAGGUUCUGGCUCAGUCUUCUACCCAAUCUCUGAUUUUAGGUGAUUUUAUCCUACUGCAUUUUAUCCUACUGCAUUAUCCUACUGCAUUUUAGGUGAUUUUUAGGUACUAAAAACACCGUUGUUGUCUGGAUUUAAGCGAGUGAGUAAAGUGCAUAUUUCUUAUGGACUUACUGUCCUGUAUUGCUUAGUUCUUUCAAUUUCUUUUGGAUUAUCUUAAAAAUUCCAACUGCUUAGUUAGCAUUGCAUAAGUGGAC
Molecule: long non-coding RNA, 1198 nt
Filed under: Zostera marina
Lineage: Eukaryota; Viridiplantae; Streptophyta; Magnoliopsida; Alismatales; Zosteraceae
Description: long non-coding RNA (ZMAR_LNC005928)
Source: RNAcentral